UAAUACGGAGGGGGCAAGCGUUAUUCGGAAUCACUGGGCGUAAAGGGCGUCUAGGCGGUCGGGUAAGUCGUGGGUGAAAGCCCCCGGCUCAACCGGGGAAGUGCCUGCGAAACUGUCCGACUUGAGGUCGGGAGAGGAAAGUAGAAUUCCCAGUGUAGCGGUGAAAUGCGCAGAUAUUGGGAGGAACACCAGCGGCGAAGGCGGCUUUCUGGACCGACCCUGACGCUGAAGCGCGAAAGCUAGGGGAGCGAACGGGAUUAGAUACCCCGGUAGUCCUAGCCGUAAACGAUGGGCACUUGGUGUAGCGGGGUUGAAGACUCGCUGUGCCGGAGCUAACGCAUUAAGUGCCCCGCCUGGGGAGUACGGUCGCAAGGCUG
RNAcentral lists this ribosomal RNA (377 nucleotides) under uncultured bacterium. RNAcentral's name for it is "bacterial SSU rRNA". It matches the Rfam family "Bacterial small subunit ribosomal RNA", at positions 521 to 896 of the family's 1533-position model. The record is from RNAcentral.